UCGGGGAAAUGGCAUUCAGGGAAAUGACUAUUCAGGGAUAUGACUAAUCGGGUAAGUGGCAUUCGGGAUUGUGGCCCAUUCGGGAAAAUAGCAUUCGGGGAUGUGGACGAUUAGGGGAAAUGGGAAAUUCGGGUAAAUGGAAUUCGGAGAAAUGACUAUUAGGGGAAGUGUCUUUUCGGGGAAGUGGCAUUCGGUGGUCGGUAAUAUGGGUUUCGGGGAAAUGUCAUAGAUUCGUUCCGUUAUGGCCAAUUCGCUAAAUAUAACGGCGCAAAAGGAGAAUGAUGUUAGCAGUAGUCAGCCGUAGGCGUGCAGAAAUCCGAUCUGUCCGACCUGGACUUUGAAGCUGCGCAAACUUCAUUUUGCACUCACCGGUUCCGAGCGGUUCGCCCGUGCUACAGGACAUCGUUAAUUUUUUAACCCGCCGACUCCGGUGACAUGUCUCGCAAAAGCACCGGAACUGGCCGCAGAAACUGGUGUAGUUGACCAGAAGGAGGAGGAGGAGCAGCAGCUGGAGUUGAUCAAGAAAGUCGUCAAAUCGUCGUAGGCUGGCCAACAACACGGUGGAGGAUGUGAACGAGAACAUGGCCAAAGCCUGGGACGAUGAACCACCCGAAGAUGGCAAGCCUCUGUACAGCGUUCCGGAAGUUCUAACUCCACUCAGAAAACCAGUAUUCUUGCAUCUUCCAGUCAUUGUCCAUCCUGUGGGCAAUACGGUUGGCAUCCUACUGCUGGCCGGUUGUCCCGACACCGGUGAAAUGAAACCCAGUCCGGCCAAGUGAACUGAAAAAGCAACUUUUCCUUGUUCCGACACCGGCAGUCAGGUGGACCAGCACGACUAAAGUUGCAACAGCAGCAGCAGAUCAUCACUGGAUCUUGGGAGAGUGAAGCGGAAAAGGUCGACUAACGGAGAGCGAGCUGGAGUGGUGGAGCAGAAGGCCAGCGAAACUGAGCAGCCUUGCCUUGGGAAGAAUCUGUAGAAGUUGCGGAGGAAGCGAGCUAGCCACUUCACGUGUGCGCAACCUCAUUGGACCACAUGACGACAAAAAGGCCGCUUCCGGAUCGGAUGCUGGCAAAAACGACAGUGGUAGUGUGUCUGCAGACCGUUAAGGUGCACUCGAUUGAGCUCAUGAACAGCAUCCAACUGGCGGCACGAACAACGAUUCCAAAGCCCGGAAGAAUCUCCGGAACCGUGUCCCUCGAAGUUCUUCCCCGAAGAUGUUUCUAAAACUUUGCUCUAGCUGCUAUCCGGAAAUGUUCCGGCCAUGACCUUGUAAGUGACGGCGAAAACAGCGCUGCACGGAACUGGCCCGGUUAUGGCCCUGCAAGUGUCCUCGAAACAACGUUACCCUUAGAACGGCGGGUGGCCUAUUGCUUUUCAAAUUCCGGUUCAUCCGGAAUCCGGAAUUGCCACACGGAACGGCAAUUCCAAGGUUCCCUCGGAAAUUAACAGGCUGCAGGAACUGCAAUACUUGGCGCCGUUGAAGUUGCAGGUUGCCAAUCGAAACGCGCAUGGCAACAAUUGGACGACUCCAAACCUGGAUCCUGACGGAAGCCGCCACCUGACCCGUGCAUGACGCCAAUAUCGUCCGGAACUGGUACGAGGGACGGCCAUGGCAUUGCCAGCAACCUGGAAGUGCCCUUGAAACGACGCUGGACGGAACAGACCCAAGGGUCGCCAACCUGUAAGUUCUCGGAACAACGCUGCACGAAACAGGCUCGCCGAAUGGUCAUCGCCCCGCAAGCGCCCUCGGAAGGACGGAUCAAAAGCUGCACGGACGCGCGUAAUAUAUUCGCGGUUCAAGCAAUCCGGAAUUGCCAUGCGGGACGGCAAUGGAUCUCGAAGUUCCCUUGGAAAGAGGCAGUACAGAACAGGCUCGACAGAAGGUCGCCAAUCUGGAAGUGGCCUUGGAACGACGCUGGAAGGAACAGUCUGAACGGUGUCCGGCCGCGGUAGAUUCAAGCCAUGGUGGAUUAUUUGCCUGUGCCAUCUCAUGUGCCCUCAGAUGCUUCUUCACCGUAAUCGGAUGGUAACUUCCGCCCUUAACCGUGGCAUCGUUCGCCACGAUCACACAAUCCACGGCCUGCGCCCAGACCCACCCCCGUAACAAUGCCUGCCGCGUUGGCCCGUAUAUUUCAUGUGCUGCCAACGAGCUCAGUUCCAAAAACGGCGAACCCGGAUCCACCAACCGAAGCAUCCCUUACUCGUGUGCCGCUUGCUCGCUUCCGGUCCGCCUCCGUUCAGAACCUUCCCGAUAACUGAGGAACCAGAGGCCGGAACUACAAGCACGACUACCUGGAGGAACCAGCCGGUCUGGCCUGGCUGGUAGAAAUUCCGGACCGAGCGGAUGCCCUGAGGGAAAAAAACGAUCGACGUCAAAAUUGUAACAUUCUUUGAAGCUAUUUUUUAAGAAAAUCAAUGUAAACCAAGAAAAACUGAAUAAAAACAUAAACACCAGCAAAAUAUUUCAAUCAAAACAACAAACAAGAUGACAGAUGCGAGAAAAAGAAGAAGAAGAACAUAAAAAACGGGGUUGAGGCGCGUCACCACGACGUCGUUCUUACAUCGGCCCCGCACGUAGGCCUCUUGCGAUGUUCGAACAACCUUGACAGGUUGACGUUUCGGGUCUGAUGCGUGUCUCAAAAUCAGACCCGCAUCGGCCCCUGUAGGACUGAUCGUCGCUCUGACGAUCAGACCCGGUCGGCCCCGUAUUUCUUACUGGGUUUAGGCACAAAAAUAUCGCACACGCAACACAAUUUUGACAAAAUAAUUAAUUUUGCGCUAAAAUGAUGUCUCAAAGCGAAUGCUUUCAUUGAAACCCGGAAAUUUCAAACUUGAUUUUAAACAUUUUUGAUAUACCCCCUAAAGAAAUGACUUGAAAUUGUGAAAAAUUUCCUAAGUCAGGAUGCCACACUUUGGUAUUAUUUUGGUAUUGAAGUGUUUCAUCACUUCUUCCUUUUUUAUAAAUUUUGACGAGAUAAUUAAUGUUGCGCUAAAAUAACCGGCUCCGUGGCUUAAUGGUUACGGCUUCUGCCUCACAAGCAGAAGGUUCAGGAAUCAAAUCCCGGUCGGUACAUUUGAAAUUUGGAAUCAGGAAUUUGAACUUUGAAUAUGAACAAAAACGAAAAAAAAAGAAUCAGGUGGGAUUCGAACUCACACCUUUGGAUUGGUGGUCUGGGACGCUAAGCAGUCGGCCAUCAGAAGGUUUACACUCUAGCAGUGAAAUGAUCCGUAGUGUUGAAACAUGUUAUCUUCUCAUAUUAAAUACGCGCUGGUCCCUGAAUUGCCUGACGGGAUUAGAAGUCUAAAUAUAGAUCGAGUUUCCUUCAGAUGCUUGCUUCUAUGUUUAGGCGGGGCCGAACAAUGCCCAGCGACCUCGGAAUUGGACCGCAAGGAGCUCUGUCAUUCUGAAAUGGGUCGUUGGAAGCAGCGCGAGGGCUAUCACCACCUAAUACCCGGGACUGAGAUAAGUUGUAUCAGCAUUCGGCAUAUACAAAGUCUGAUACAAAUUAUACUUUCCCAUAAUAUCGCUACCGGUUAGCGGGUAUUGGAUUGGACACACACACACACACACACACACACACACACACACACACACACACACACACACACACACACACACACACACACACACACACACACACACACACACACACACACACACACACACACAUAAUUAAUGUUGCGCUAAAAUGACAUGAAACCCAAAAAUGUUAAAGCUGAUUUUCAUUUAUUUUAUGUAUACCCACUAAGAUUUUUUUAAAUCGUUGAAAUUUCUCUUAGUCGGGAUAACCAAAUACUUUGAAAAACGAGUUAAUCGACAGAUAAUUGAAUUUUGGUGAAUUUGAUUGGUGCGCUGGAAGUGGGGACGCGAAGUCGUGAUUAUUCAGGUUAUUUUUUUUGUGUGCUGGUAAUCGAAUAAUAGCAUCAUUGGUGCGCUGGAAGUGGGGACGCGAAGUCGUGAUUAUUCAGGUUAAUUUUUUGUGUGCUUUUGUGUCGCUAUUCGUUUGAGGUGAGUGAUUGUGGUAAUCGAAUAAUAGCAUCAUUGGUGCGCUGGAAGUGGGGACGCGAAGUCGUGAUUAUUCAGGUUAAUUUUUUGUGUGCUUUUUUUGUGUGCUUUUGUGUCGCUAUUCGUUUGGGGUGAGUGAUUGUGGUAAUCGAAUAAUAGCAUCAUUGGUGCGCUGGAAGUGGGGACGCGAAGUCGUGAUUAUUCAGGUUAUUUUUUGGUGUGCUGGUAAUCGAAUAAUAGCAUCAUUGGUGCGCUGAAAGUGGGGACGCGAAGUCGUGAUUAUUCAGGUUAAUUUUUUGUGUGCUUUUGUGUCGCUAUUCGUUUGGGGUGAGUGAUUGUGGUAAUCGAAUAAUAGCAUGCCUUACUGAAUUAUUUGUGUCUUGAGCGUAAUUUUCGUUGAGUAAUUGAUGUUUUUUGUGAUCUUUAUUAAUUGUUUUGUGAUUUUCAAAGCCCUUCCUAUAUCAUCGUUGAUCGGAAGGCACGGCGUCGGGUAAAUUGUGUAUAAUUUUUUCGAUUAAGGUUUUAUUUUUUAUGGUAAAAGCCAUUUCUAUAUAAUGAUCGAAAGACGCACUGACAUUUUGGAAUAAUUAAUAGUGGAGUGAAAUAAUUGUGA
Long non-coding RNA from Culex pipiens pallens (northern house mosquito), 4620 nucleotides. RefSeq lists it as uncharacterized. Lineage: Eukaryota; Metazoa; Arthropoda; Insecta; Diptera; Culicidae. The record is from RefSeq and is a predicted model, not a curated record. The transcript is spliced from 4 exons.